AUAGACAUCACAAAAAAAAAAUGUCAUUUUUAAAUAAAAUUACUCGAUAAAUUAAAAAUCUGAUCAUCAAUUAAAAGUAAAGGUAUCACCGCCUCGCACCUGGACACGAUCCGCGCUUGCGUGCUCCGGGGGAUAGUUUACAAAAUUUUUUAAAUUUUUCCAGUAGACAGUAGGACGUACGAGGGUGAGCAUCUGCGGGAUAUGGUUUUGAACCUCGUCGACUCCGCUGACCUCAAGCAGCAGCAGUUGAUGAUGGACACAAGUACGACGACCGGACGAAGAUGGAAUUCGUCGGGGAUAACGCAUCACCGGGAGAGUAUUAUAAACGUGGGUGCCUCGAGUGGUAAAAGAAUCCCCACUUAUGUCGAGCCCACCACUCAUCAAAAAAUAAAUCGUAUUAUUGAAGAGCACAAGACUAAGUCUUCAAGAGAACGCGCCAAGUCUUUGUCAUCGUCGUCUUCUUCAAAUUUGCCGAAUUAUCUCGUCGCGUCAAGAGGUGAAUUGUCACGGGGGUUUUUUACCAUACCAGAAAGUUGUCGGAAUAAUUUUGUGCUGACGGACAGACGCAAAAGUUCUGUUAGCGAGUUGGUGAACGGGCGGGAAGAUUUUAGCAGAGCUAGGAUCAGUUCCAAGGGAAAUUGGGAUCGGAGGCGCGAGGACAGAUCAAGUUCUAGGUCAAGAAGUGUCAAGAAUAAAUCCGCUGCAAAAGACGGACUGGGAGCUAUUCCACCUGGCAAAUUACCCACCGAUGGAAUACUAAAGCAAUCAAAAAAUUUUGUUUAUAAAUCCGCUGACAAGGAAGUUCUGCGGGCGUUUAAAAAAAGUACGCCCAGUCGAGUGGUUAAAUCGACGAGCUACCAAACUCUCAGUACAUCGGAUUUUAAAAAAGACGGACGGAUUAAUUUUAAUAAUAACAGUAACUCGCGAUUGGUUAAAAAAUCCGUGUCUUUUAGUUCGGACACGAGUUUCGUCGCCAAACGGUUGCCUGCGCGCAAACCUGCAGUUCAUGAAGCCAAAGUUUACCACAAAGGUGUCCUGAGAGACAUAAAAAAUUUUGAUCAGCCAAAAAAAAAAGUGAGGGAAAUAAAAGAGAAUAUGAACCAGUUGCUGUUGAAAGCCGCGCGCGACGCCGAUGAACUCGCGCUCAGUGACACGAUCUCCAGGAUACAGAGGUCCAGCGAACCUAUUGAUGUUAAUUUGAGAGACGCUAGUGGCAGGACUGUGAUAAGUUACUUGGCUGGUAAUGGUGCCGCUGAAGUAUUGGAGACGGUGCUGAAUUUUCCCGACGCAGAGGUCGAUGCUGCAGACAAUGAAGGGAACACGGCACUCCAUUUUGCCGCUCAAGCCGGACAAGCCGAGUGUCUGAAUAUUUUGCUGCAGAAGAGCACGAGCGUCGAGUUGGACACCCGUAACAUUUUAGGAUUCACUCCGCUGAUGAAAGCCGCGCUCCAAGGACGAACCAAGUGUGCUAAAAUUCUCCUAUUUGCUGGAGCCAACCCAACUCUGAGAGACCACGGGCGAGGGUUAAAAGCCGAGCAGUGGGCGAGAUUUUGCGGGCGACAUGUGUGCGCUGACGUUAUCGAGCGGUUCACUAGGCAUCGAUUGAUGGAAAAGACUUCCUGUCGCUGGGGAAGCGAACCAGAGCUCGCGGCUAAGGUUCUCCAAGGAAAGGUCCUGCCAGUUCCUUUCACUCCAGCGCCGGUGGCAUCAUCCGGAUUUAAAUCAAAACUCAAGCGCGUCUUCCGCAAUGUCGGGGCAGAUAAAAGUUUCUCGUUGGUUUCCCAGCUCACCAAUGCCGCCCUGUGUGCCAGCACUCCCGCAUUACCUAAACCUGGUGACGCUCCAGUUAAAAACCUUAUCAGGCCGCUUAAUAUUCCUCAGCUCAGAGUGACGCUAGUCGCGCCUAUAGACAUAAUGGACAAAUGCGAGGUAAAUUACACGGAAAAACUUGAAGGCACGACAAAAAAACCGCCGCGUUUAAAAAAAAAGACAAAGUAGCAUCAGUUUAGAUCGUCGUCAUUAAUAAAUUGCUGUGGUUUUCACGGGACACCGGUACUGGAUGACAAAAGUAUGCGCUAAGCGCAAAGUCAAAGACUUGGUGGUGGACUGAUGGAAAGACAUAAUGAUUGUUAAAUAAAUA
Microplitis demolitor is the source of this 2140-nucleotide RNA transcript. RefSeq lists it as uncharacterized. The record is from RefSeq and is a predicted model, not a curated record. Lineage: Eukaryota; Metazoa; Arthropoda; Insecta; Hymenoptera; Braconidae. The transcript is spliced from 12 exons.